RNAcentral lists this ribosomal RNA (334 nucleotides) under uncultured eukaryote. RNAcentral's name for it is "partial 18S ribosomal RNA". It matches the Rfam family "Eukaryotic small subunit ribosomal RNA", at positions 1470 to 1796 of the family's 1831-position model. The record is from RNAcentral.
CCCCUAGACGUUCUGGGCUGCACGCGCGCUACACUGAAGGAAUCAGCGUGGCUUUCUCCCUGACCCGAAAGGGUUGGGAAACCCGUUGAAUCUCCUUCGUGAUAGGGAUUGGGGCUUGAAAUUGUUCCCCAUGAACGAGGAAUUCCCAGUAAGCGCGAGUCAUAAGCUCGCGUUGAUUACGUCCCUGCCCUUUGUACACACCGCCCGUCGCUACUACCGAUUGAACGGUUUAGUGAGGGCCUCGGAUUGGUCUCGGCCCGCUCUUCACCGGGCGGCGCCGUUGGUCGAGAAGACGCUCGAACUUGAUCGUUUAGAGGAAGUAAAAGUCGUAACA